AUUGAACGCUGGCGGUAUGCUUAACACAUGCAAGUCGAACGGUAACAGGCUUUCGGGCGCUGACGAGUGGCGGACGGGUGAGUAACGCGUAGGAAUCUGCCUUAUAGUGGGGGACAACGUGGGGGAAACCCACGCUAAUACCGCAUACGCCCUACGGGGGAAAGCGGGGGAUCUUAGGACCUCGCGCUAUGAGAUGAGCCUGCGUUAGAUUAGCUAGUUGGUAGGGUAAAGGCCUACCAAGGCGACGAUCUAUAGCUGGUCUGAGAGGACGAUCAGCCACACUGGGACUGAGACACGGCCCAGACUCCUACGGGAGGCAGCAGUGGGGAAUAUUGGACAAUGGGCGGCAAGCCUGAUCCAGCAAUACCGCGUGUGUGAAGAAGGUCUUUCGGAUUGUAAAACCCUGUCGUCGGGGACGAAGGUAGGGGGUUAAGUAGCCCUUUUGCUUGACGGUACCCGGAGAGGAAGCCCCGGCUAACUCUGUGCCAGCAGCCGCGGGU
This 500-nucleotide ribosomal RNA is filed under the name uncultured bacterium. Its description in RNAcentral is "bacterial SSU rRNA". It matches the Rfam family "Bacterial small subunit ribosomal RNA", at positions 30 to 522 of the family's 1533-position model. The record is from RNAcentral.